Molecule: RNA transcript, 4040 nt
Organism: Scylla paramamosain (green mud crab)
Lineage: Eukaryota; Metazoa; Arthropoda; Malacostraca; Decapoda; Portunidae
Gene name: high-affinity choline transporter 1-like
Exons: 16
Source: RefSeq, a predicted model, not a curated record
GUACCUGCAGCCUCCGCCAAAAAAUUCCGGGUGAAAGGUAGCAAGAGGGUGUUCGGCGUCGUGUCGCUGCUCUGAAGUGGUGGCUUGGUUGGAGGUUUGCCACCUUGCGACUCAGUUCUACACUGGCACGCUUAGGACCCACAACGCCGGUCUACAAGUCAAGAUGCUGAACAUACCGGGCCUUGCGGGCAUCAUCGUCUUCUACCUGCUCAUCCUUGGGAUCGGCAUCUAUGCAGCAUGGAGGCGACGCAACAAGGGAGGCAAGUCCGAGGAGGUUAUGCUCGCAGGACGCUCCAUUGGGCCUCUGGUCGGCAUCCUGACCAUGACGGCUACAUGGGUGGGAGGAGGAUACAUCAACGGCACGGCAGAGAAGGUGUACGACAAGGGCCUCAUCUGGUGCCAGGCGCCCUUUGGCUAUGCUCUGUCACUCGCUGUGGGCGGCAUGUUCUUCGCCAAGCCGAUGCGGGAGGCGGGAUACGUCACCAUGCUGGAUCCGCUGCAGCAGGCCUUCGGGCGGCGCAUGGGCGGCAUGCUUUACUUCCCGGCGCUGAUGGGUGAAACGUUCUGGUCGGCGGCUAUCCUAUCUGCCCUCGGCUCCACCUUGGCAGUCAUCCUGGACAUUGGCAAUACUGUGUCAAUCCUCGUCAGUGCUGCCAUCGCUGUUUUCUACACCAUAUUUGGCGGACUCUACUCCGUCGCUUACACGGACGUGAUUCAGCUCUUCUGCAUCUUCAUCGGUCUGUGGAUCACCGUGCCUUUCGCCAUGGUGCAUGAGUCGGUGGGGUCCCUUGCACUCAAUGAGACCAACUGGCUGGGGUCCAUCGAGCCCACCUCACCCGAGUGGGGCCUCUGGAUCGACUACUGGCUCCUGCUCAUCUGUGGCGGCAUCCCCUGGCAGGUGUACUUCCAGAGAGUGCUGUCGUGCCAGACCCCGACCCACGCCAGGGUACUCUCCUACACGGCGUCUGUCGGCUGCCUCCUGAGCGCCGUGCCAGCGUGCAUCAUCGGUGCUAUUGCCAAGGCCACAGAUUGGAGCCAGACGGACUACGGCAAGACCCCCGAGGGCUACCAGGUGAAGCUGGUUCUGCCCCUCGUGAUGCAGUAUCUCACGCCCACGUGGGUGGCCUUCCUGGGGCUGGGGGCCGUGAGUGCCGCGGUCAUGUCCUCUGCUGACUCCUCUGUCCUCUCCGCCUCGUCCAUGUUUGCAAGGAACAUAUACCAGAACGUCUUCAAGCAGGAGGCCACUGACCGGGAGGUGAUCUGGGUGAUGCGAGCCAGCAUCGUGGUGGUGGCCGCCAUCGCCUGCACCAUCGGCAUCCUCAUCAACAGCAUUUACUAUCUCUUCCUUGUCUUGCCUCGUACAGUAUGGAUGUCCCGGGCAGCGGCGGGCACCGGGCCGGUCAGGCUACAUCCAAGAUCACCGACCCUCAAGCUCCCGGCUAAGCCUUGCAGGCGCUCUUGUCCCCCGGGGUUAAAUUGUGCGGGGAUCUGGUGUACGUGAUCCUCUUCCCGCAACUUCUCAUGGUGGUGCACUUCCGGGACCGCGUCAACACGUACGGCUCCUUCGUGGCCUUCUGCCUCGGGCUGAUCGUGCGUCUCUUAGGAGGAGAGCCGUACAUCGGGGUGCCGGCCACUAUCCAAUACCCAUUCUACGACGAGGAAACGGGCCAGCAGAACUUCCCCUUCCGCACAAUAGCAAUGCUGGUGUCGCUGUUCAGCCUCAUCGUCUCCUCGGCCAUCGCCAAGGCCAUUUUCACCCACAAGAUCUUGCCCCCCAAGUUUGACGUGUGCAGAUGUUUCCACCGGGCUGAAAACGACGAGCUGGGAACGGCCAAUCUAAACAAAACUCUCCCACUGGCAAUGUCGAAGACCAAGGAGGAUGUUUCUCCUCUCAAGGCAGCAGAGAGCAACCUGUACAUGCCCGUCAAUGGGACGAUGAACGGCGUCUAGGUGGGCGAUGUGUUUCCAAUAUUGGGUAGGGAGACGCUGAGGUGUCGCCGCGUGGGCUGCUAGGGCGCGACGCUUCUCCAGGGAGAGGCUGUUCAUGUGCCCCGGCUGUCGUUAAUGUCACUACUGAUGAAGAGCAGGGUCUAGACACGAGUUCAGGAGCGGUUUUAUACCACAGCCGCAUGUAAUAUUCCUUAAGCAGGCUUUUCUUGUCCACAGAAGAGUUAUCAUUCAGAGUACAACGUUGUGUAAUGCUUGGAGCGCGCACAAACUGAGGUUCGUGCAUGGUGUACUGUACCUUGAUAUACGUAAUAGGGAUUGUCUACCGAGCUGCAGAGCGCUGGUUUGUGUUGACAAGAGGGCAAUGGCAAUGGGCAACAAAAUACGUGAAACAAGGCCCAAUGAAGUUUCCAUUUUCCGAAGAGGAUAGUUCAGAGGAAUAUCCAAAAUCACGAAACGGAAGCUAAUGGGUAAUAUUAGGUGGGUGCCUCGUAAUUUCAUGAUGUGAUUUUUGAUACAUAAUGUCUAUUUUUUCAUGUCGUUGGUCUAGCACUGUUCGUCAGUUUUGUUGCAACUCCUUUUCUUAUUUUUUGUUAUUUAUCAUAAGAAUUAAAGGAGUUGUAAUUGUUAGGUGCAUGUUGAAACUUCCUCGUAGGGAAGGGUAAGAUAAAACAACAACACACACUACUGUUUUCCUGAACUCGUGCAGAGGCACAACAUACAUAUCUAAGAUUAGAAUCAGAAGUAGCGACAUAAGGGAUCAAUCUGUAAUUCUCGCUCUGAGUGUCGUGUAUGCGUGGUAGUGGUGAGCGGGGUGACUGGCCCUCGGUGUUCCGGUAUGCUGGGCCAGAUAAGAGUGUACUUGACAGUAUUUCAUAACGUAGCUUAUUUUGAGGAUGUCCACGUCACAACUUCUCACUUUUACAUACUUCUCAUUCAUUAGCUUUUGUUUUUUGGUGACAAUUAAUUAUUUGACUGCUAAGGCUUCCCAAGCUAAACAAAGUUGAUCUGGUUCAAAUUUCAUGAGAUCAUUAAGUAAUUCAAAUAUUCUAAUACUGGCUGAUAUUUUUGCCCAGUAGAAUCGUAUGCUGCCAUUUAAAUGGAGUAAUAAGUGUCACUCUGCCAUUAGGAGUCAAAGAAUUAAAGAAUAAUGGAUGUCCUUCAGUUUCUAGAAAGAGAGUGAGUGAUGAACGUGUUUGGUGUUUGUAGCGGCUGUCUCUCUGUGCCGCGGUCGACGCAGCGAAACGUGCAUGAUAGUGGGCUCUGUGUAACAUUAGCGAAGAUUUUUUUUUUUGUGAAGCAAGCAAGGAGGCUGUUUUUAUAGACACGUAGUGCAUGUCCCAUUCCAUGAUGGAGAAGCACCGUGGUCAUUAUAAUCAGUCGACGAAUAUUAUAUAGAGUUUACGAAAAUGCAUUUUUUAAUUAGGCAGAAUCAAUGACGAUAGAAUCUUAUGAAAUUAAUACAGCUCAUAAGUAAAGUACUAAAAAUAAAGUGAAAGGAUAAACCUAGAUUUAUCAUCGGGAUUGUAAUAAUUACUGUCAACUGCAUUUUCAUCACAGCAAAAUCUUUACGAUUAACGGUCUCUCUUCUGAUGCAGAGAGUUGUAUAAAUUUUUGACAAAGGCCUAAUUGAAUUCGCCUUGGAAACGAUGGUGACAAUUACAACAUGGUGACAGUUACCACAUUCUCAUGCAAUGCGAGGGUUAAAAAAAAAAAAAGUUUCUCGACGCCUAAAGGAAAUAAGCUUCAUGGAUAAGACUGACACGUAAUCGACCGCGUGAGGUGUGCAUAAGACUCUUCCGAGGGGACUGUGAAGAGGUGGGUUGUGGGGAGUAUUAUUAGUGCAUUAAUUACUACAUUAUAAUAGUAAGUAUAGUAAGUGUGUCCGUGUCUCGUUCAUUUCGCUGCAUCUGGAGUGUCAAGUAUGAUGCUAUUUUUUUUUUCAAGUAGUCAUGACAUUUAGUUUCAUGCAUGUAGGUAAAUGUGCCUGAAAAAUGCAAAUAAGAUCUUCCCUACGGUUGAGGGUCAGAGAUAAAAUUGCAAGUUGUUAGCAGUAUUUACAUGUAUCUUUAAGUAAUAAACAUUAAACCUUU